Molecule: ribosomal RNA, 455 nt
Filed under: uncultured bacterium
Lineage: Bacteria
Description: bacterial SSU rRNA
Rfam family: Bacterial small subunit ribosomal RNA
Source: RNAcentral
AGUGGCGGACGGGUGAGUCCAUUUGGGAAAGGGGCUUCAGGUGAGGAAUACCUCCGGGAAACCGGGUACAAAAACGAAUAGCCUCGCUUCCGUGGAGGGAGAGAGGAAAGCUCUUCGCGAGAGGAGCGCCUGAAGAGGGGCCUGUGGCCUAUUAGCUAGCUGGUGGGGUAAGAGCUUACCAGGGCGACGAUCGGUAGCUGGUCUGAGAGGACGAGCAGCCACACUGGGAUUGAGAACGGCCCAGACUCCUACGGGGGGCAGCAAUGAGGAAUUUUCCGCAAUGGACGCAAGUCUGACGGAGCAACGCCGCGUGCAGGAGGACGGCCUUCGGGUUGUAAACUGCUUUUCUGGGGGGCGAGAAGACAAGGACGGUACUCCAGGAAGAAGCCCCGGCUCACUACGUGCCAGCAGCCGCGGUAAUACGUAGGGGGCGAGCGUUGUCCGGAUUUACUGGG